This 253-nucleotide ribosomal RNA is filed under the name uncultured bacterium. Its description in RNAcentral is "partial 16S ribosomal RNA". It matches the Rfam family "Bacterial small subunit ribosomal RNA", at positions 524 to 776 of the family's 1533-position model. The record is from RNAcentral.
UACAGAGGGUGCAAGUGUUGUUCGGAAUUAUUGGGCGUAAAGCGCGUGUAGGCGGCUUGUUAAGUCGGGUGUGAAAGCCCUCAGCUCAACUGAGGAAGGGCGCCCGAAACUGGCGAGCUUGAGUGUCGGAGAGGAUGGCGGAAUACCCCAAGUAGAGGUGAAAUUCGUAGAUAUGGGGUGGAACACCGGUGGCGAAGGCGGCCAUCUGGACGAUAACUGACGCUGAGACGCGAAAGCGUGGGGAGCAAACAGG